CCUACGGGUGGCAGCAGUGAGGAAUAUUGGUCAAUGGACGAGAGUCUGAACCAGCCAAGUAGCGUGAAGGAUGACUGCCCUAUGGGUUGUAAACUUCUUUUAUAUGGGAAUAAAAUGUUCCACGUGUGGGAUUUUGUAUGUACCAUAUGAAUAAGGAUAGGUUAACUCCGGGCCAGCAGCCGCGGUAAUACGGAGGAUCCGAGCGUUAUCCGGAUUUAUUGGGUUUAAAGGGAGCGUAGGUGGAUUGUUAAGUAAGUUGUGAAAGUUUGCGGCUCAACCGUAAAAUUGCAGUUGAAACUGGCAGUCUUGAGUACAGUAGAGGUGGGCGGAAUUCGUGGUGUAGCGGUGAAAUGCUUAGAUAUCACGAAGAACUCCGAUUGCGAAGGCAGUUCACUGGACUGCAACUGACACUGAGGCUCGAAAGUGUGGGUAUCAAACAGGAUUAGAUACCCGGGUAGUC
Molecule: ribosomal RNA, 460 nt
Filed under: uncultured bacterium
Lineage: Bacteria
Description: partial 16S ribosomal RNA
Rfam family: Bacterial small subunit ribosomal RNA
Source: RNAcentral